UACGGAGGGUGCAAGCGUUAUCCGGAUUCACUGGGUUUAAAGGGUGCGUAGGUGGGUUGGUAAGUCAGUGGUGAAAUCCCCGAGCUUAACUUGGGAACUGCCAUUGAUACUAUUGAUCUUGAAUACCGUGGAGGUCAGCGGAAUAUGUCAUGUAGCGGUGAAAUGCUUAGAUAUGACAUAGAACACCAAUUGCGAAGGCAGCUGGCUACGCGAAUAUUGACACUGAGGCACGAAAGCGUGGGGAUCAAACAGG
Molecule: ribosomal RNA, 253 nt
Filed under: uncultured bacterium
Lineage: Bacteria
Description: partial 16S ribosomal RNA
Rfam family: Bacterial small subunit ribosomal RNA
Source: RNAcentral